Molecule: ribosomal RNA, 253 nt
Filed under: uncultured bacterium
Lineage: Bacteria
Description: partial 16S ribosomal RNA
Rfam family: Bacterial small subunit ribosomal RNA
Source: RNAcentral
UACAGAGGUCCCAAGCGUUGUUCGGAUUCACUGGGCGUAAAGGGUGCGUAGGUGGUGGGGUAAGUCGGAUGUGAAAGCUCGGAGCUCAACUCCGAAAUGGCAUUGGAAACUACCCUGCUAGAGGAUUGGAGGGGGGACUGGAAUACUUGGUGUAGCAGUGAAAUGCGUAGAUAUCAAGUGGAACACCAGUGGCGAAGGCGAGUCUCUGGACAUUUCCUGACGCUGAGGCACGAAAGCCAGGGGAGCAAACGGG